AGUGAACGCUGGCGGUAGGCCUAACACAUGCAAGUCGAACGGCAGCACAGUAAGAGCUUGCUCUUACGGGUGGCGAGUGGCGGACGGGUGAGGAAUACAUCGGAAUCUACUUUUUCGUGGGGGAUAACGUAGGGAAACUUACGCUAAUACCGCAUACGACCUACGGGUGAAAGCAUGGGAUCUUCGGACCUUGCGCGAUUGAAUGAGCCGAUGUCGGAUUAGCUAGUUGGCGGGGUAAAGGCCCACCAAGGCGACGAUCCGUAGCUGGUCUGAGAGGAUGAUCAGCCACACUGGAACUGAAACACGGUCCAGACUCCUACGGGAGGCAGCAGUGGGGAAUAUUGGACAAUGGGCGCAAGCCUGAUCCAGCCAUACCGCGUGGGUGAAGAAGGCCUUCGGGUUGUAAAGCCCUUUUGUUGGGAAAGAAAAGCAGCAGGUUAAUACCCCGCUGUUCUGACGGUACCCAAAGAAUAAGCACCGGCUAACUUCGUG
RNAcentral lists this ribosomal RNA (492 nucleotides) under uncultured bacterium. Its description in RNAcentral is "partial 16S ribosomal RNA". It matches the Rfam family "Bacterial small subunit ribosomal RNA", at positions 29 to 507 of the family's 1533-position model. The record is from RNAcentral.